Molecule: ribosomal RNA, 1516 nt
Filed under: Klebsiella pneumoniae
Lineage: Bacteria; Pseudomonadati; Pseudomonadota; Gammaproteobacteria; Enterobacterales; Enterobacteriaceae
Description: 23S ribosomal RNA
Rfam family: Bacterial large subunit ribosomal RNA
Source: RNAcentral
UUAAUAUUCCUGUACUUGGUGUUACUGCGAAGGGGGGACGGAGAAGGCUAUGUUAGCCGGGCGACGGUUGUCCCGGUUUAAGCAUGUAGGCUGAUUGUCCAGGCAAAUCCGGAUAAUCAAGGCUGAGGUGUGAUGACGAGGCACUACGGUGCUGAAGUAACAAAUGCCCUGCUUCCAGGAAAAGCCUCUAAGCAUCAGGUAACAUCAAAUCGUACCCCAAACCGACACAGGUGGUCAGGUAGAGAAUACCAAGGCGCUUGAGAGAACUCGGGUGAAGGAACUAGGCAAAAUGGUGCCGUAACUUCGGGAGAAGGCACGCUGGUGUGUAGGUGAAGCCCCUGCGGGUGGAGCUGAGACCAGUCGAAGAUACCAGCUGGCUGCAACUGUUUAUUAAAAACACAGCACUGUGCAAACACGAAAGUGGACGUAUACGGUGUGACGCCUGCCCGGUGCCGGAAGGUUAAUUGAUGGGGUUAUCCGUAAGGAGAAGCUCUUGAUCGAAGCCCCGGUAAACGGCGGCCGUAACUAUAACGGUCCUAAGGUAGCGAAAUUCCUUGUCGGGUAAGUUCCGACCUGCACGAAUGGCGUAAUGAUGGCCAGGCUGUCUCCACCCGAGACUCAGUGAAAUUGAACUCGCUGUGAAGAUGCAGUGUACCCGCGGCAAGACGGAAAGACCCCGUGAACCUUUACUAUAGCUUGACACUGAACAUUGAGCCUUGAUGUGUAGGAUAGGUGGGAGGCUUUGAAGCGUGGACGCCAGUCUGCGUGGAGCCAACCUUGAAAUACCACCCUUUAAUGUUUGAUGUUCUAACGUUGGCCCCUUACCGGGGUUGCGGACAGUGUCUGGUGGGUAGUUUGACUGGGGCGGUCUCCUCCCAAAGCGUAACGGAGGAGCACGAAGGUUAGCUAAUCCUGGUCGGACAUCAGGAGGUUAGUGCAAUGGCAUAAGCUAGCUUGACUGCGAGCGUGACGGCGCGAGCAGGUGCGAAAGCAGGUCAUAGUGAUCCGGUGGUUCUGAAUGGAAGGGCCAUCGCUCAACGGAUAAAAGGUACUCCGGGGAUAACAGGCUGAUACCGCCCAAGAGUUCAUAUCGACGGCGGUGUUUGGCACCUCGAUGUCGGCUCAUCACAUCCUGGGGCUGAAGUAGGUCCCAAGGGUAUGGCUGUUCGCCAUUUAAAGUGGUACGCGAGCUGGGUUUAGAACGUCGUGAGACAGUUCGGUCCCUAUCUGCCGUGGGCGCUGGAGAAUUGAGGGGGGCUGCUCCUAGUACGAGAGGACCGGAGUGGACGCAUCACUGGUGUUCGGGUUGUCAUGCCAAUGGCACUGCCCGGUAGCUAAAUGCGGAAGAGAUAAGUGCUGAAAGCAUCUAAGCACGAAACUUGCCCCGAGAUGAGUUCUCCCUGAGACUUUAAGUCUCCUGAAGGAACGUUAAAGACGAUGACGUUGAUAGGCCGGGUGUGUAAGCGCAGCGAUGCGUUGAGCUAACCGGUACUAAUGAACCGUGAGGCUUAACCUU